GUAGGUAUAGCUCAGUUGGUUAGAGCAUCGGUUUGUGGUACCGAGGGUCGCCGGUUCGAACCCGGUUACUUACCCCA
Molecule: transfer RNA, 77 nt
Filed under: Arcobacter sp.
Lineage: Bacteria; Pseudomonadati; Campylobacterota; Epsilonproteobacteria; Campylobacterales; Arcobacteraceae
Also listed under: 1 other name
Description: tRNA-His
Rfam family: tRNA
About the family: Transfer RNA (tRNA) molecules are approximately 80 nucleotides in length. Their secondary structure includes four short double-helical elements and three loops (D, anti-codon, and T loops). Further hydrogen bonds mediate the characteristic L-shaped molecular structure. tRNAs have two regions of fundamental functional importance: the anti-codon, which is responsible for specific mRNA codon recognition, and the 3' end, to which the tRNAs corresponding amino acid is attached (by aminoacyl-tRNA synthetases). tRNAs cope with the degeneracy of the genetic code in two manners: having more than one tRNA (with a specific anti-codon) for a particular amino acid; and 'wobble' base-pairing, i.e. permitting non-standard base-pairing at the 3rd anti-codon position.
Source: RNAcentral